Meleagris gallopavo (turkey) is the source of this 94-nucleotide small nuclear RNA. Lineage: Eukaryota; Metazoa; Chordata; Aves; Galliformes; Phasianidae. The record is from Ensembl.
UUGCUUCGGCAGCACAUAUACUAAAAUCGGAACAAUACAGGGAAGAUUAGUGUACAAGGAUGACAUGCAAAUUUGUGAAGCAUUCCAUAUUUUC